RNAcentral lists this ribosomal RNA (473 nucleotides) under uncultured bacterium. RNAcentral's name for it is "bacterial SSU rRNA". It matches the Rfam family "Bacterial small subunit ribosomal RNA", at positions 28 to 491 of the family's 1533-position model. The record is from RNAcentral.
GAUGAACGCUAGCGGCAGGCUUAACACAUGCAAGUCGAGGGGCAGCAUAAUGAAGUAGCAAUACUGAAUUGAUGGCGACCGGCGCACGGGUGCGUAACGCGUAUGUAACCUACCUCUAACAGGGGGAUAACACUGAGAAAUUGGUACUAAUACCCCAUAACACUUGAUAGGGCAUCCUAUUGAGUUGAAAGUUCCGGCGGUUAGAGAUGGACAUGCGUUGUAUUAGCUAGAUGGUGAGGUAACGGCUCACCAUGGCGACGAUACAUAGGGGGACUGAGAGGUUAACCCCCCACACUGGUACUGAGACACGGACCAGACUCCUACGGGAGGCAGCAGUGAGGAAUACUUGGUCAAUGGACGCAAGUCUGAACCAGCCAUGCCGCGUGCAGGAUGACGGCUCAUGAGUUGUAAACUGCUUUUGACAAGGGUAACCCCGAUACGUGUAUCGGGCUGAAAGUACUGUACGAAUAAGG